This 253-nucleotide ribosomal RNA is filed under the name uncultured bacterium. RNAcentral describes it as "partial 16S ribosomal RNA". It matches the Rfam family "Bacterial small subunit ribosomal RNA", at positions 524 to 776 of the family's 1533-position model. The record is from RNAcentral.
UACGAAGGGUGCAAGCGUUACUCGGAAUUACUGGGCGUAAAGCGUGCGUAGGCGGUUGCUUAAGUCAGAUGUGAAAGCCCUGGGCUCAACCUGGGAAUGGCAUUUGAAACUGGGCAGCUAGAGUGUGAUAGAGGAUGGCGGAAUUCCUGGUGUAGCGGUGAAAUGCGCAGAUAUCAGGAGGAACACCAGUGGCGAAGGCGGAUCUCUGGGCCGAUAUUGACGCUGAGGAGCGAAAGCGUGGGGAGCAAACAGG